This 451-nucleotide ribosomal RNA is filed under the name uncultured Gammaproteobacteria bacterium. RNAcentral's name for it is "bacterial SSU rRNA". It matches the Rfam family "Bacterial small subunit ribosomal RNA", at positions 8 to 461 of the family's 1533-position model. Lineage: Bacteria; Pseudomonadati; Pseudomonadota; Gammaproteobacteria. The record is from RNAcentral.
AGAGUUUGAUCAUGGCUCAGAUUGAACGCUGGCGGCAGGCUUAACACAUGCAAGUCGAGCGGGGAGAUGUAGCUUGCUACAUUUCCUAGCGGCGGACGGGUGAGUAAUGCUUAGGAAUCUGCCUAUUAGUGGGGGACAACAUUCCGAAAGGAAUGCUAAUACCGCAUACGCCCUACGGGAGAAAGCAGGGGACCUUCGGGCCUUGCGCUAUCAGAUGAGCCUAGGUCGGAUUAGCUAGUAGGUGAGGUAAUGGCUCACCUAGGCGACGAUCCGUAACUGGUCUGAGAGGAUGAUCAGUCACACUGGAACUGAGACACGGUCCAGACUCCUACGGGAGGCAGCAGUGGGGAAUAUUGGACAAUGGGNGAAAGCCUGAUCCAGCCWUGCCGCGWGUGUGAAGAAGGCCUUUUGGUUGUAAAGCACUUUAMGCGGGGAGGAGGCUCUUCUAGUU